Molecule: transfer RNA, 73 nt
Filed under: Diselma archeri
Lineage: Eukaryota; Viridiplantae; Streptophyta; Pinopsida; Cupressales; Cupressaceae
Also listed under: 1 other name
Description: tRNA-Met
Source: RNAcentral
UAUCUAGUGAUAAUAUGGUUAGAGUAUUGCUUUCAUACGGCGAUAGUUAUCGGUUCAAAUCCAAUAACUUAUU